AAUGAACGCUGGCGGCGUGCUUAACACAUGCAAGUCGUACGAGAACGUCUUAGCUUGCUAAGAUUAGUAAAGUGGCGCACGGGUGAGUAACGCGUGGAUAAUCUACCUUCGAAUCGGGGAUAACAUUGCGAAAGCGAUGCUAAUACCGGAUAAUAUCUAUUAUUCUUCGGGAUUUUAGAUCAAAGAUGGCCUCUACUUGUAAGCUAUUGUUUGAGGAUGAGUCCGCGUCCCAUUAGCUUGUUGGUGGGGUAAUGGCCUACCAAGGCAACGAUGGGUAGCUGGUCUGAGAGGAUGAUCAGCCACACUGGAACUGACACACGGUCCAGACUCCUACGGGAGGCAGCAGUGAGGAAUUUUGCGCAAUGGGGGAAACCCUGACGCAGCAACGCCGCGUGAGUGAUGAAGGCUUUUGGGUCGUAAAGCUCUGUCAAGUGGGAAGAAAAUAUAUAUAGCCAAUACCUUUAUAUACUGACGGUACCACUGAAGGAAGCACCGGCUAACU
RNAcentral lists this ribosomal RNA (502 nucleotides) under uncultured bacterium. RNAcentral's name for it is "bacterial SSU rRNA". It matches the Rfam family "Bacterial small subunit ribosomal RNA", at positions 29 to 502 of the family's 1533-position model. The record is from RNAcentral.